Molecule: unclassified non-coding RNA, 253 nt
Filed under: uncultured Bacteroidota bacterium
Lineage: Bacteria; Pseudomonadati; Bacteroidota
Description: uncultured Bacteroidetes bacterium contains 16S-23S intergenic spacer region
Rfam family: Bacterial small subunit ribosomal RNA
Source: RNAcentral
UACGGAGGGGACUAGCGUUGUCCGGAAUCAUUGGGUGUAAAGGGUGCGUAGGCGGAAGCCUAAGUCGGGGGUGAAAUCUUGCCGCUUAACGGUAAAAUUGCCUUCGAUACUGGGUUUCUUGAGUUCGGAAGAGGUUGGUGGAAUUCGUGGUGUAGCGAUGAAAUGCAUAGAGAUCACGAAGAACACCAGUGGCGAAGGCGGCCAACUGGUCCGAUACUGACGCUGAGGCACGAGAGCGUGGGGAGCGAACAGG